AGAGGAUUCGAUGAGUUUGAUCGUGGCUCAGGACGAACGCUGGCGGCGUGCCUAAUACAUGCAAGUCGAGCGGAUCGAUGGGAGCUUGCUCCCUGAGAUCAGCGGCGGACGGGUGAGUAACACGUGGGUAACCUGCCUGUAAGACUGGGAUAACUCCGGGAAACCGGGGCUAAUACCGGAUAACAUUUUCCUCCGCAUGGAGGAGAAUUGAAAGGUGGCUUCGGCUACCACUUACAGAUGGACCCGCGGCGCAUUAGCUAGUUGGUGAGGUAACGGCUCACCAAGGCGACGAUGCGUAGCCGACCUGAGAGGGUGAUCGGCCACACUGGGACUGAGACACGGCCCAGACUCCUACGGGAGGCAGCAGUAGGGAAUCUUCCGCAAUGGACGAAAGUCUGACGGAGCAACGCCGCGUGAGUGAAGAAGGUUUUCGGAUCGUAAAACUCUGUUGUUAGGGAAGAACAAGUACCGUUCGAAUAGGGCGGUACCUGACGGUA
This 497-nucleotide ribosomal RNA is filed under the name Bacillus sp. (in: firmicutes). Its description in RNAcentral is "bacterial SSU rRNA". It matches the Rfam family "Bacterial small subunit ribosomal RNA", at positions 1 to 487 of the family's 1533-position model. The record is from RNAcentral. Lineage: Bacteria; Bacillati; Bacillota; Bacilli; Caryophanales; Bacillaceae.